UACGUAGGGCGCAAGCGUUGUCCGGAAUUAUUGGGCGUAAAGAGCUCGUAGGCGGUUUGUCGCGUCUGCUGUGAAAACCUAAGGCUCAACCUUGGGCUUGCAGUGGGUACGGGCAGACUAGAGUGCGGUAGGGGUGACUGGAAUUCCUGGUGUAGCGGUGAAAUGCGCAGAUAUCAGGAGGAACACCAACAGCGAAGGCAGCACUCUGGGCCGGUACUGACGCUGAGGAGCGAAAGCAUGGGGAGCGAACAGG
This 253-nucleotide ribosomal RNA is filed under the name uncultured bacterium. RNAcentral's name for it is "partial 16S ribosomal RNA". It matches the Rfam family "Bacterial small subunit ribosomal RNA", at positions 524 to 776 of the family's 1533-position model. The record is from RNAcentral.